RNAcentral lists this ribosomal RNA (443 nucleotides) under uncultured bacterium. RNAcentral's name for it is "partial 16S ribosomal RNA". It matches the Rfam family "Bacterial small subunit ribosomal RNA", at positions 338 to 795 of the family's 1533-position model. The record is from RNAcentral.
CCUACGGGAGGCAGCAGGGGGGAAUAUUGGGCAAUGGGCGCAAGCCUGACCCAGCAACGCCGCGUGAAGGAAGACGGCUUUCGGGUUGUAAACUUCUUUUCUGAGGGACGAAGAAAGUGACGGUACCUCAGGAAUAAGCCACGGCUAACUACGUGCCAGCAGCCGCGGUAAUACGUAGGUGGCAAGCGUUAUCAGGAUUUAUUGGGUGGAAAGGGCGUGUAGGCGGGAAAGCAAGUCAGAUGUGAAAACUCAGGGCUCAACCCUGAGCCUGCAUUUGAAACUGUUUUUCUGGAGUGCUGGAGAGGCAAGCGGAAUGCCGUGUGUAGCGGUGAAAUGCGUAGAUAUACGGAGGAACACCAGUGGCGAAGGCGGAUUGCUGGACAGUAACUGACGCUGAGGCGCGAAAGCGUGGGGAGCAAACAGGAUUAGAUACCCGAGUAGUC